GCAGUCGAGCGGAGAGAGGUAGCUUGCUACUGAUCUUAGCGGCGGACGGGUGAGUAAUGCUUAGGAAUCUGCCUAUUAGUGGGGGACAACAUUUCGAAAGGAAUGCUAAUACCGCAUACGUCCUACGGGAGAAAGCAGGGGAUCUUCGGACCUUGCGCUAAUAGAUGAGCCUAAGUCGGAUUAGCUAGUUGGUGGGGUAAAGGCCUACCAAGGCGACGAUCUGUAGCGGGUCUGAGAGGAUGAUCCGCCACACUGGGACUGAGACACGGCCCAACUCYCCUACGGGAGGCAGCAGUGGGGAAUAUUGGACAAUGGGCGCAAGCCUGAUCCAGCCAUGCCGCGUGUGUGAAGAAGGCCUUAUGGUUGUAAAGCACUUUAAGCGAGGAGGAGGCUACUUUGGUUAAUACCUAGAGAUAGUGGACGUUACUCGCAGAAUAAGCACCGGCUAACUCUGUGCCAGCAGCCGCGGUAAUACAGAGGGUGCAAGCGUUAAUCGGAUUUACUGGGCGUAAAGCGCGCGUAGGCGGCUAAUUAAGUCAAAUGUGAAAUCCCCGAGCUUAACUUGGGAAUUGCAUUCGAUACUGGUUAGCUAGAGUGUGGGAGAGGAUGGUAGAAUUCCAGGUGUAGCGGUGAAAUGCGUAGAGAUCUGGAGGAAUACCGAUGGCGAAGGCAGCCAUCUGGCCUAACACUGACGCUGAGGUGCGAAAGCAUGGGGAGCAAACAGGAUUAGAUACCCUGGUAGUCCAUGCCGUAAACGAUGUCUACUAGCCGUUGGGGCCUUUGAGGCUUUAGUGGCGCAGCUAACGCGAUAAGUAGACCGCCUGGGGAGUACGGUCGCAAGACUAAAACUCAAAUGAAUUGACGGGGGCCCGCACAAGCGGUGGAGCAUGUGGUUUAAUUCGAUGCAACGCGAAGAACCUUACCUGGCCUUGACAUAGUAAGAACUUCCAGAG
Molecule: ribosomal RNA, 953 nt
Filed under: Acinetobacter sp. THA6.B68
Lineage: Bacteria; Pseudomonadati; Pseudomonadota; Gammaproteobacteria; Moraxellales; Moraxellaceae
Description: bacterial SSU rRNA
Rfam family: Bacterial small subunit ribosomal RNA
Source: RNAcentral